Syngnathus typhle (broad-nosed pipefish) is the source of this 1357-nucleotide long non-coding RNA. RefSeq lists it as uncharacterized. NCBI's taxonomy places the organism in Eukaryota, Metazoa, Chordata, Actinopteri, Syngnathiformes, Syngnathidae. The transcript is spliced from 2 exons. The record is from RefSeq and is a predicted model, not a curated record.
GUCAGACAAAGACAUUAUGUUUCUACUCGUGCGUUCAGCUGAAGUUCAGCUAACAGAGAUGAUUCCUUGACCAAAUAAGGCCUGCACCGACCACACCCAACUCAAAGCAUUCUCUUGGGAACUUCAAAGACCAAAAUGCUUUUCAAAAGUAUCUAGGAGAAACGAAGGUCGUAGCCAUAUUCCCUACGAAUGAGGGUCUUACUGGAUUCUUUCAUUGAGACACUUCAACUCCUCAACAUGACACAAGUAUUUGUAUUUCUUCGCAGAGGAUAAAGAAUCCAUGCUUGUAAGUAUUGUUAGAAGGUCUGUCUCAUGUUUACACUGUUUGUGUUCAGUUCGUUGCUAAGAGGGUUAUAGCACAUAGAUCCUAAUUAGCAUCAGCAUUAAGUUAGCAAACGCUAUGAGGUUGUUUUAAAUAAACAGGGUGUAGUUCUGUGUUUUAUAUUUAACAUUUUCAUUCAUAUUUGACAGUAAGUCAUCGUUUGUAUCUCAAUUUGGCGCUCACAACUCAGUGUGGAUGUUAUGCAAGCUGAAAGGAGCAUUUUAUUGUGGCUUUGGCCUUAAACGCAUGAUUGUUUUUCACCUAGCUAGCAUGUUUGUUUGUUUUCCUCGCUCACGACUCACUUGCGUCUGUGAAGACGCUCGCAGUUCCUGUCCUCGUCUGCUUGCCCGCACUCGUCAGCGACCACCAGGCGCAGAUAUUGGUGCGAGAGUCUGUGGUUAUGUUGCCGCAGAUUACACUCUUGCAUGUAGGUCAACGCAUCAAUAUGAAGAGUUUGAAGCUGGUGUUUCCCCCACAGUCCGCUUCGAGGUUCCCGCAUCCUUCCUCUUGCAGAUUGCUGCAAGGAGUGAUGACGCUGGCGGGGACCGCAUGUAAACAAAGCCCAUGUCAUCGAUGUGUUCUUUUGACUUGUUGCUGAUGUAUUUUGGAUCAUAACAACAGAUGCGCACCAGAGCAGAAUCACUCAACAUGCCGCGGAUUCUUUUUGAGAGGCGCGUGCCCACAUAGUCUGUGACUGUCUGACAUUCAAUGAGGUGAAAGGUGAGACACAGUCAACGUGAGCAUGGUCACAUAGCCAAGUGUGUGAGUCUGCAUGUGUGGGAGGGGUUGUGGUUAUUGGAGAUGCCCUUCUUGUUUUGGAAUCCGUCUUAAACGGCACAUCACUUAUUCCAUUAAAUACCAAGCCAUUGCCUAAGAUCAAUCUGUAAAGGUUAUCAAGAGAACUAGAUUGUUUUGUAUUGUUAGAUGGAAAUUUCUGCAAAUACCAAUCAUCCAUUCCAGUAAAAGGCAAAAGAAUGUUUGCUCUCUACUUCAUAAAAAUAGAGCAAAAACACCAAUAAAUAGAAUGUAAAUCUA